UACGGAGGGGGCAAGCGUUGUCCGGUUUUAUUGGGUUUAAAGGGUGCGUAGGCGGCCCCUUAAGUCAGCGGUGAAAGCCCGGGGCUCAAACCCGGAACCGCCGUUGAUACUGGGGGGCUUGAGUACAGACGAGGUAGGCGGAAUUGAGGGUGUAGCGGUGAAAUGCUUAGAUACCCUCAAGAACACCGAUUGCGUAGGCAGCUUACUAGGCUGUAACUGACGCUGAGGCACGAAAGCGUGGGGAGCGAACAGG
Molecule: ribosomal RNA, 253 nt
Filed under: uncultured bacterium
Lineage: Bacteria
Description: partial 16S ribosomal RNA
Rfam family: Bacterial small subunit ribosomal RNA
Source: RNAcentral